Molecule: ribosomal RNA, 201 nt
Filed under: uncultured bacterium
Lineage: Bacteria
Description: partial 16S ribosomal RNA
Rfam family: Bacterial small subunit ribosomal RNA
Source: RNAcentral
ACGCUCGACACCUACGGGAGGUAGCAGUGGGGAAUAUUGGGCAAUGGGCGCAAGCCUGACCCAGCAACGCCGCGUGAAGGAAGAAGGCCCUCGGGUUGUAAACUUCUUUUGUCAGGGACGAAGCAAGUGACGGUACCUGACGAAUAAGCCACGGCUAACUACGUGCCAACAGCCGCGGUAAUCUGAGCGGGCUGGCAAGGC